UGGCUAAUCUGCCUUGAGACGAGAAUAACCCGGGAAACUGGGGCUAACUCUCGAUAGGCGAAGAACUCUGGAAUGAGUCUUCACCCAAAAAGCUUCACGUUAUCCUCGUGAAGUCGCUCAAGGAUGAGGCCGCGACCGAUCAGGUUGUUGGUGAGGUAAUGGCUCACCAAGCCUUUUACCGGUGCGGGCCGUGGGAGCGGGAGCCCGGAGAUGGGUACUGAGACAAGGACCCAGGCCCUACGGGGCGCAGCAGUCGCGAAAACUUUGCAAUACACGAAAGUGUGACAGGGCUAUCCCGAGUGCCAUCCGCUGAGGAAGGCUUUUACCCAGUCUAGAACGCUGGGGGAAUAAGGAGAGGGCAAGUCUGGUGUCAGCCGCCGCGGUAAUACCAGCUCUCCGAGUGGUGUGGAUGUUUAUUGGGCCUAAAGCAUCCGUAG
This 437-nucleotide ribosomal RNA is filed under the name uncultured crenarchaeote. RNAcentral's name for it is "bacterial SSU rRNA". It matches the Rfam family "Archaeal small subunit ribosomal RNA", at positions 101 to 524 of the family's 1478-position model. Lineage: Archaea; Thermoproteati; Thermoproteota. The record is from RNAcentral.